CAGAUAAGCGCUCGUGGAGAGGGUAGAGGGCACUGGGUGGGGCAGGCACGCCUGGGAGUGUCCCGGCCUCGUCUCGGAUCCUUGACCUGUGACCCCCUGCCUACGCAGGCCACCUCCGCACACUCACGCGGGAGGUGUUGCUGCCGGGCUGAGUGGAGCGGACUCUCCCACCGCGUGGAGCUCUGAUGGAGCCGGCAGCCCCUCCCCGCAGCCCUCAUUGCCCCGGCGGAGGAGGGGCAGGGCGUCCCCUACCCCAAUCAGGGAGGGUUCGGAGCACGUGUGGACCGCCCGGCCGGGCCGGAGCCCAGCGAGCGGGGGCCGCUCCCAUCAUCCUCUCCAGGUCAACAGCACAAAUGCGGCGCCGGCGAACAAAGAAGCGCUGCAAACUCGCCAGGGGGGCGGGACAGCCCGCGCCGCGCCCCCUCCCCAAGCCGGGCGGGCUUGCCGGGCCGUGGGGUCCUCGCGGCGCCCCGACGGCGCUCUUACCUGGCCGGCGCGGACCUCUUUCUCCAGCUCGCGGUGGCGGUUGUGCCACACGAGGCCCCGGCGCGGAACAUGGAGUGGACUGCCUCGCCCCUUUCUCCAGGCUGGGAGGAGCCAGUUGGCAUCUCCCGCCGCCGGGGACCGCUGCCCUCCUCCACCACGAGGGGUCACCAGAGUGCCGUGGCUGAAGCCGGAGUUGGGGAGGGGGCUGGAGCGGGGAAGGGACGGCCAGGAGUGGCCAGGAGAAUGCCUGUACAUUUCCUCAUUAAAUUGUUUUUUACAA
Molecule: long non-coding RNA, 766 nt
Organism: Capra hircus (goat)
Lineage: Eukaryota; Metazoa; Chordata; Mammalia; Artiodactyla; Bovidae
Exons: 2
Source: RefSeq, a predicted model, not a curated record